GGGUCAGUAGGUUGGUCGUGCCACCGGUACGUACUGGUCUCACUGAUUCCUCCUUCCUGAAGAACCGUAAUGCCAUUAAUUUGGUGUUGCGGGGAAACAGGACUGUUACUUUGAAAAAAUUAGAGUGUUUAAAGCAAGCUAACGCUAGAAUACAUUAGCAUGGAAUAAUGAAAUAGGACGAUCGAUCCUAUUUUGUUAGUUUCUAGGAUUGACGUA
RNAcentral lists this ribosomal RNA (216 nucleotides) under Glomeromycotina sp. RNAcentral's name for it is "partial small subunit ribosomal RNA". The stretch from base 40 to 216 matches the Rfam family "Eukaryotic small subunit ribosomal RNA", at positions 686 to 864 of the family's 1831-position model. The record is from RNAcentral. Lineage: Eukaryota; Fungi; Glomeromycota.